AAUGUGUUCUCAGCUUGAUCCAGACUCGUGUUUGUUAAUCCCUCAAGUGGAGAACACCUGCUUUGGAUUCAAGAGCCUCUACAAACACUCCUCAGGUUUUUGACCUCUACGUAGCUGUCACGAAGGAAAAUAGGAAUAGUAAAAGGAAUCCUGCUGUACACACUGGAUUGUGUUUAGUGCUGUGCUCAGUGUGCAGGUGGAAACCAGAGCAC
This is a long non-coding RNA of Scleropages formosus (Asian bonytongue), 212 nucleotides long. RefSeq lists it as uncharacterized. Lineage: Eukaryota; Metazoa; Chordata; Actinopteri; Osteoglossiformes; Osteoglossidae. The record is from RefSeq and is a predicted model, not a curated record. The transcript is spliced from 3 exons.